CCUACGGGUGGCAGCAGUGGGGAAUAUUGGGCAAUGGGCGCAAGCCUGACCCUGCAACGCCGCGUGAAGGAAGAAGGCUUUCGGGUUGUAAACUUCUUUUGACAGGGAAGAGCAGAAGACGGUACCUGUCGAAUAAGCCACGGCUAACUACGUGCCAUCAGCCGCGGUAAUCCGUAGGUGGCAAGCGUUGUCCUGAUUUACUGGGUGUAACGGGCGUUGAGCCGGGCUGACAAGUAGGGUGUGAAAUCCGGGGGCUCAACCCCCGAACUGCAUUUGAACCUGGUGGUCUUGAGUAUCGGAGCGGCAGGCGGAAUUCCUAGUGUAGCGGUGAAAUGCGUAGAUAUUAGGAGGAACACCAGUGGCGAAGGCGGCCUGCUGGACGACAACUGACGGUGAGGCGCGAAAGCGUGGGGAGCAAACAGGAUUAGAUACCCUAGUAGUC
Molecule: ribosomal RNA, 442 nt
Filed under: uncultured bacterium
Lineage: Bacteria
Description: partial 16S ribosomal RNA
Rfam family: Bacterial small subunit ribosomal RNA
Source: RNAcentral